GACGAACGCUGGCGGCGUGCUUAACACAUGCAAGUCGAACGGAAAGGCCCUGCUUUUGUUGGGUGCUCGAAUGGCGAACGGGUGAGUAACACGUGUGUAACCUGCCCUUGACUUUGGGAUAACUUCAGGAAACUCGGGCUAAUACCGGAUAUAAUCUCCUGCUCCAUGUUGUUGGUUGGAAAUUUUCGGCGGUUGGGUAUGGACUCGCGGCUUCUCAGCUUGUUGGUGGGGUAGUGAAUUACCAAGGCUUUGACGGAUACCCGGCCUGAGAGGGUGACCGGCGACAUUGGGACUGCGGUACGCACCAGACUCCUACGGGAGGCAGCAGUGGAGAAUAUUACAGAAUGGGGGGAAGUCUGAUGCAGCAACGCUGCGUGCGGGAUGCUGGCUUUCGGGUUGUAAACCGCUUUCGAAUGUGCCGUAGAGUGAGUGACGGUAACUGGUAAAGAAGCACCGGCUAACUACGUG
RNAcentral lists this ribosomal RNA (468 nucleotides) under uncultured bacterium. RNAcentral's name for it is "partial 16S ribosomal RNA". It matches the Rfam family "Bacterial small subunit ribosomal RNA", at positions 28 to 507 of the family's 1533-position model. The record is from RNAcentral.